Molecule: long non-coding RNA, 2857 nt
Filed under: Rattus norvegicus (Norway rat)
Lineage: Eukaryota; Metazoa; Chordata; Mammalia; Rodentia; Muridae
Description: long non-coding RNA NONRATT023112
Source: RNAcentral
GGCUUAUUCUGCAUCUAUACCAGCAUGGGAUCAAGAAGUGCUUUCUUAAGAUACAUGAUAAAGGCUUAAAAGUCUAAAUAGGUUUACCAAGACUCAGAAAGAAGAAAGCAUGAAGAAGAAACAAGAAAAUGUGAAAUAGACUCAUGAUCAAAGUCCAUCCUUUUAGCUUUCAACAUCUGUAGUGUAAUUUACUAGCAUUUCUGAGCCACAGAUUUCUCAUGUGUUAUCUACAGGUGAUAGAUUGUACAUUAGAUCCACAUAAGAACGUCUUCAAAAUAUUGGCAUUGACCUGAAACUCUGGUGUAAGUAUAUGGUCUGCCAUAUAUUCCGUGCUCUUCUUCCAUGUUCUCUUCUAGGUGGCUUUGUUCAAUGAGUGGUAGGGAAGGGUGAGGGGAAAUUUCCAUACAACUUUAAGUGCUGCAAAAGAAGAAAGUUGUAGUGAGUGAAGCAUCACAAAGCAAGGUCAGAGAAUGUGCCUACCAUCUUGAUUCCAUUCAGGCCAUUACCAAUGCUUGUGCUGAGGAGUUUAAGUAAUUUUCAUAAAGGGUUUUAUACUCAAAGAAUUGAGGGCAAAGCAAUCACACUGGAACAAAAUGUGCCAAUUCUUUCAGUAAUUCAUAAAACUACUUUGAAAGCAAUUGAAUAUUUUAGUAUUGUAAUUUGCACUAUGAUAUUACUAUGUUCGGACAAACUAAAAUACUCUGAAAUCUAAUGCCAAAUGUACAGUUCAUAGGUUCGUGUUAUUUCUUAUAAGUGUUUCAUUGCAUUGUUCCAGUUGUUUAAUACCAUUAACUUACCCUGGGUGUGUUGUUAUGAUGCAGAUCCAACAGGGUUAUUGUAAGCACACUAAUUAGUCAUCUGGGGUUUUAUAGAUAAAAUCAUACAUUGAUCAGAAAUCACUUUUCUACUUAUUUUUUUGUAGAGUAUUUUUCCACACUUGAAAAAAAAACAUGAUUAUUUUAUAUCAAACAUCAGUUUUCUUUAAAAUCUUAUUUUAGUAGCCACUGCAUGUUUGAAAUAAGAUGGUAAAUAUUAUAUGACAAUAGUGAGAUUGUGUUUGUAAGUGAAAGUGCAUGCUCUAAUGAAUCACACAGCUUUGGUGGCAUAUUUUUUCCACUGCCACCUGAUAUGCAAGCUUUGUCUGAAUCUGUGUGCAUGUUUCACAUGCUUUCCAGAGUCCGUUUUUUAAUAUUUACAAAGUGAUAUGUGAUUUUUAGUGCCGAUAAGCCAGUGAGCCAAGAUGCAAUACUGUUUUGCUUUCAUUUUUCUUCAAACUUAUUAUGUUGUAAAUUUUCUCGGAAAACUUUUUCUUGAAGUUGUUGGCAAUAAACUAUAACAAAAAAAAAAGAAUUUGCUGAUAAAUCUUACAAGUGACUGCACAGCAACUUACUGUUACAAAGCAUGAUGUGAAAAGAUCAUUUUACUAAUUCCAUUCUAUGAAUACAAUAUUCUGGCAUCUUUUUGUAUAAUUAAGAAGAGUUUAUCAUUUUCAAAACACUGCCAAAGUCAGUAAUACUGCCAAAAGGGAGGAACACCAAGUCAGACCUGCAUUACAUUAACCUGAACAAUAGCAGACUAUCCAGACUGUGUAGACUGUCAAUCAGUACAGCAAAUUAGAGGGACAGACCCACUCCUUUGUUUCUUAGUCAUUUGGAAAAUGUAUAAGGAAUAUAAAUUUUGGCAACAGAGACAUGCCUUUACAUGCUGUUAACUCACAGCAACAUUUUAAAUAAAAUUCAUUCCAUUCUGGAAAAGAUAUGCCCAGGUCUUUUGUUUGUUUCAGAAAUAUACUUGUGUUUUUGAAAGCUCGGAUUUCAAACAGUUAAUAUAUGUAGACCACCUGUUCCUUCUCCAAAUGAUAAGUCAUUUAUUGUAACACGUAAUGGGUAGAACAUAGCUUUCAGUCAGUUACUCAAAUCACCAGUAUAAACAUUCGUAAUGUUAGAAGGUGAUUUCACUGUGAUGUUAUGAGAGCAAUGGAAACCCUAGUUAUUCGUUCAUUUUUCUCAUGUAUUUAUUUAUAGAAAAUUGCUUCUUUCAAGUCUGAUGUUGACAGCAUCAAAUGAGUUAAUAUAAUGCUAAGAAAACUGACUCUGGUUAUGAUCUCAGGUCACAAUCCUGAAGCUGGGUCUUGCUGCAAUCCAAAAUAAAACAUUGAGUCAAAUGAUGAGCAGCCUGCCCGGCCUUAGAGAGGGCAACUAUAGCAGUCAUGAUACCAUAGGUGUAAGCAGCAGAAAGAAUUGCUGCACUAUUCAUGACAUUGUAGGUGUAUGAACGUUCUACACCAUUCAUGAUACUAUAGAUGUGUAACACUCAGCAAACAUCUGAUCUGGGCUCUCGGUUGGUACUGCAUGCAUCCCUUCAUUUAAAUAACCUGUAAAUAACAUCACUUUGUGGCAGCUAAGCGAAUAUUUUAAUAAGCCAUGAAAGGCAUGAUAUAAGAAAUCUGUACUUUCAGGUGUUUGGGGAAAAAAAUUGUACCUUCCAUAAAUUAAAGUGGAGUUGCCGUUUGAAAUUUCCUUCCCUUAAAAAUAUGCUGUAACACUGUAUGUUCGUCGCUGUCUUUUCAGACGUAUAAAUACAUGAUGUGACUACUACAGCUUUGUGAAAUUUUGUUUAGCAAUUAAUGACUUUAACAAUCUGAACAACGAUUUCAAGGCAGAAGUAAAUACAUAAGGAAUUUGAGCCUGUUUGUAAAAAGUCUAUUCCUUAUGUCAGAUUUACUGUAUUCAAUGUAAAUACCUCACGGAUAUAACACUGGAGCCAGUGGAUGUGUAAAUAAUUAUGUUCUAUUUGGGCCUAAUGCAUUCCUGUAAUGUGAAUAUUUAAAAUAAAGGAAUUCAAUUUAAAUGCACAA